CAGCCGCCGCGGGAAUACGGAGGGUGCAAGCGUUAUCCGGAUUUAUUGGGUUUAAAGGGUCCGUAGGCGGAUCUGUAAGUCAGUGGUGAAAUCUCACAGCUUAACUGUGAAACUGCCAUUGAUACUGCAGGUCUUGAGUAAAUUUGAAGUGGCUGGAAUAAGUAGUGUAGCGGUGAAAUGCAUAGAUAUUACUUAGAACACCAAUUGCGAAGGCAGGUCACUAAGAUUUAACUGACGCUGAUGGACGAAAGCGUGGGGAGCAAACAGGAUUAGAUACCCGCGUAGUCCCUGUCUCUUAUAC
Molecule: ribosomal RNA, 301 nt
Filed under: uncultured bacterium
Lineage: Bacteria
Description: partial 16S ribosomal RNA
Rfam family: Bacterial small subunit ribosomal RNA
Source: RNAcentral